Molecule: ribosomal RNA, 492 nt
Filed under: uncultured bacterium
Lineage: Bacteria
Description: bacterial SSU rRNA
Rfam family: Bacterial small subunit ribosomal RNA
Source: RNAcentral
AGGACGAACGCUGGCGGCGUGCCUAACACAUACAAGUCGAGCGGAGUUAACAAGAGGAAGUUUCGGAUGGAAUUUGUACUUAGCGGCGGACGGGUGAGUAACGCGUGAGCGACCAACCUUGCACAGGGGGAUAACGGACCGAAAGGUUCACUAAUACCGCAUGAGACCACGGUGUUGCAUGACACAGAGGUCAAAGGAGCGAUCCGGUGCAAGACGGGCUCGCGUCCGAUUAGGUAGUUGGUGGGGUAAUGGCCCACCAAGCCUAUGAUCGGUAGCCGACCUGAGAGGGUGAUCGGCCACAUUGGAACUGAGAUACGGUCCAAACUCCUACGGGAGGCAGCAGUGGGGAAUAUUGGGCCAAUGGGGGAAACCCUGACCCAGCAACGCCGCGUGAAGGAAGAAGGUUUUCGGAUUGUAAACUUCUGUCCUUGGUGAAGAGAAGAAGACGGUAGCCAAGGAGGAAGCCCCGGCUAACUACGUGCCAGCCGCCGC